This 490-nucleotide ribosomal RNA is filed under the name uncultured bacterium. Its description in RNAcentral is "partial 16S ribosomal RNA". It matches the Rfam family "Bacterial small subunit ribosomal RNA", at positions 30 to 507 of the family's 1533-position model. The record is from RNAcentral.
AUUGAACGCUGGCGGCAGGCCUAACACAUGCAAGUCGAACGGUAACAGGAAGCAGCUUGCUGCUUUGCUGACGAGUGGCGGACGGGUGAGUAAUGUCUGGGAAACUGCCUGAUGGAGGGGGAUAACUACUGGAAACGGUAGCUAAUACCGCAUAACGUCGCAAGACCAAAGAGGGGGACCUUCGGGCCUCUUGCCAUCGGAUGUGCCCAGAUGGGAUUAGCUAGUAGGUGGGGUAACGGAUCACCUAGGCGACGAUCCCUAGCUGGUCUGAGAGGAUGACCAGCCACACUGGAACUGAGACACGGUCCAGACUCCUACGGGAGGCAGCAGUGGGGAAUAUUGCACAAUGGGCGCAAGCCUGAUGCAGCCAUGCCGCGUGUAUGAAGAAGGCCUUCGGGUUGUAAAGUACUUUCAGCGGGGAGGAAGGGAGUAAAGUUAAUACCUUUGCUCAUUGACGUUACCCGCAGAAGAAGCACCGGCUAACUCCGUG